GGCUCAGAUUGAACGCUGGCGGCAGGCCUAACACAUGCAAGUCGAACGGUAACAGGAAGCAGCUUGCUGCUUCGCUGACGAGUGGCGGACGGGUGAGUAAUGUCUGGGAAACUGCCUGAUGGAGGGGGAUAACUACUGGAAACGGUGGCUAAUACCGCAUAACGUCGCAAGACCAAAGAGGGGGACCUUCGGGCCUCUUGCCAUCAGAUGUGCCCAGAUGGGAUUAGCUWGUUGGUGAGGUAACGGCUCACCAAGGCGACGAUCCCUAGCUGGUCUGAGAGGAUGACCAGCCACACUGGAACUGAGACACGGUCCAGACUCCUACGGGAGGCAGCAGUGGGGAAUAUUGCACAAUGGGCGCAAGCCUGAUGCAGCCAUGCCGCGUGUAUGAAGAAGGCCUUMGGGUUGUAAAGUACUUUCAGCGGGGAGGAAGGUGUUGYGGUUAAUAACCGCAGCAAUUGACGUUACCCGCAGAAGAAGCACCGGCUA
RNAcentral lists this ribosomal RNA (489 nucleotides) under Salmonella enterica subsp. enterica serovar Lansing. RNAcentral describes it as "bacterial SSU rRNA". It matches the Rfam family "Bacterial small subunit ribosomal RNA", at positions 21 to 499 of the family's 1533-position model. Lineage: Bacteria; Pseudomonadati; Pseudomonadota; Gammaproteobacteria; Enterobacterales; Enterobacteriaceae. The record is from RNAcentral.